GGAGUUUGGACCGUGUCUCAGUUCCAAUGUGGGGGACCUUCCUCUCAGAACCCCUACUGAUAGUUGGCCAGGUGGGCCGUUACCCCGCCUGCAACCUAAUCAGACGCAUCCCCAUCCCUUAGCGAUAAAUCUUUGGUAUUCGUCAGAUGUCCUCAAAAUACAACAUAGAGUAUUAAUCCGACUUUCGCCGGGCUAUCCUCUACUAAGGGGAAGGUUGGAUACGCGUUACUCACCCGUGCGCCGGUCGCCAGCGACAAUAGCAAGCUAUCGUCCUGCUGCCCCUCGACUUGCAUGUGUUAAGCCUGUAGCUAGCGUUCAUC
RNAcentral lists this ribosomal RNA (320 nucleotides) under uncultured Prevotella sp. RNAcentral describes it as "partial 16S ribosomal RNA". Lineage: Bacteria; Pseudomonadati; Bacteroidota; Bacteroidia; Bacteroidales; Prevotellaceae. The record is from RNAcentral.